UUCCGGUUGAUCCUGCCGGAGGCUACCGCUAUUGGAGUUCGAUUAAGCCAUGCGAGUCUAGAGGCCUAGCCUCGGCGUACCGCUCAGUAACACGUGGGUAACCUACCCUAUGCUGGGGAAUAAGCUCGGGAAACUGAGAAUAAUACCCCAUAGUCCACUACGCCUGGAACGGUGAGUGGAUCAAAGCUCCGGCGGCAUAGGAUGGGCCUGCGGCGUAUCAGGUUGUAGGGGGUGUAAUGUACCCUCUAGCCAUCCACGCGUACGGGUGUUGGGAAACAUUGCCCGGAGAUGGAUUCUGAGACACGAAUCCAGACCCUACGGGGUGCAGCAGGCGCGAAAACUUGGCAAUGCGAGAAAUCGUGACCAGGGAACUCCAAGUGGCAGGGGUAAGACCCUGUCUUUUUCCGACUCUAAAUAGGUCGGCGAAUAAGGGGUGGGUAAGGACGGUGCCAGCCGCCGCGGUAAUACCGGCGCCUCAAGUGGUAGUCGCUUUUAUUGGGCCUAAAACGUCCGUAGCCGGUCUGGUACAUUCGUGGGUAAAUCAACUCGCUCAACGAGUUGAAUUCUGCGAGGACGGCCAGACUUGGGACCGGGAGAGGUGUGGGGUACUCUCAGGGUAGGGGUAAAAUCCUGUCAUCCUGAGAGGACCACCUGUUGCGAAGGCUCCACAUUAGAACGGAUCCGACGGUCAGGGACGAAGCCUAGGGGCACGAACCGGAUUAGAUACCCGGGUAGUCCUAGGUGUAAACGCUGUGGACUUGAUGUUGGGGACGCUCCGAGCGUUCUCAGUGUCGAAGCGAAGGUGAUAAGUCCACUGCCUGGGGAGUACGGUCGCAAGGCUGGAACUUAAAGGAAUUGGCGGGGGAGCACCGCAACCUGAGGAUUGUGCGGUUUAAUUGGAUUCAACGCCGGG
This 913-nucleotide ribosomal RNA is filed under the name uncultured archaeon. Its description in RNAcentral is "bacterial SSU rRNA". It matches the Rfam family "Archaeal small subunit ribosomal RNA", at positions 1 to 922 of the family's 1478-position model. The record is from RNAcentral.